UACAGAGGGGGCAAGCGUUGUUCGGAAUUACUGGGCGUAAAGGGCGCGUAGGCGGCCUCUUAAGUCGAACGUGAAAUCCCCAGGCUUAACCUGGGAACUGCAUCCGAUACUGGAUGGCUUGAAUCCGGGAGAGGGAUGCAGAAUUCCAGGUGUAGCGGUGAAAUGCGUAGAUAUCAGGAGGAACACCGGUGGCGAAGGCGGCUUUCUGGACAGAAACUGACACUGAUGCGCGAAAGCUAGGGGAGCAAACAGG
Molecule: ribosomal RNA, 253 nt
Filed under: uncultured bacterium
Lineage: Bacteria
Description: partial 16S ribosomal RNA
Rfam family: Bacterial small subunit ribosomal RNA
Source: RNAcentral